AGCAGCAGCCGCGGUAAUACGGAGGGAGCUAGCGUUGUUCGGAAUCACUGGGCGUAAAGCGCACGUAGGCGGCUAUUCAAGUCAGGGGUGAAAGCCCGGGGCUCAACCCCGGAACUGCCUUUGAAACUAGAUAGCUUGAAUUUUGGAGAGGCGAGUGGAAUUCCGAGUGUAGAGGUGAAAUUCGUAGAUAUUCGGAAGAACACCAGUGGCGAAGGCGACUCGCUGGACAAGUAUUGACGCUGAGGUGCGAAAGCGUGGGGAGCAAACAGGAUUAGAUACCCCAGUAGUCCCUGUCUCUUAUAC
Molecule: ribosomal RNA, 303 nt
Filed under: uncultured bacterium
Lineage: Bacteria
Description: partial 16S ribosomal RNA
Rfam family: Bacterial small subunit ribosomal RNA
Source: RNAcentral